GGCUGGUCUGAUGAUAGUGGGUUAUCAGAAUUUAUUAACAUUAGUGUCACUAAAGUUGGCAUAAAACCCCCGAUUGCUAAAUUUGACUGGCUAGAA
Y RNA from Papio anubis (olive baboon), 96 nucleotides. It matches the Rfam family "Y RNA". Rfam says of the family: Y RNAs are components of the Ro ribonucleoprotein particle (Ro RNP), in association with Ro60 and La proteins. Lineage: Eukaryota; Metazoa; Chordata; Mammalia; Primates; Cercopithecidae. The record is from Ensembl.